AUCCCAUCAUGCUUAGGGUCAUGGUAACGUCCCAUCAUGCUUAGGGUCAGUGACUGAAGGAGGGCUCUCAAAGGAAUAUAGAGGGUGUGUCUCAGUCACCAGAUCUCAGUGACUGAAGGAGGGCUCUCAAAGGAAUAUAGAGGGUGUGUCUCAGUCACCAGAUCUCAACCCAAUUUAAGACUUAUGGAAUAUUUUGAAGCAGCGCCCGAGACAACAUUUUCCACCACCAUCAAGAAAACACAAAAUUAUGGAAUUUCUCGUGGAAGGAUUUGUGUUUCGUAUCCCUCCAAUAGAUUUCCAGACUUGUAGAAUCUAUGCCAAGGUGCAUUGAAACAUGGCCGCGGUCGAUGUUUGGGGUGUCGGGUUGAUGCAUUUUUUUCUCUGACGUGCAGAAUGUAAUUUUUUGGGGCCUGCACUACCGAAGGCUAUAUCGGUCUGCUAAUACUGGACUAGUAAAGGCCCAGUGCACCACUUUUGUGAAGAUAAUUAUUAUUUAAAAAAAUAUAUAAAAAAAAUCAUAUUUUUUUAUUCUGAUUUUUCACGGGGCGGUGCAUUGAAGUUGUUCUGACGGCUCAUGGUGACCCAACUCCCUAUUAAGAACCUCCUUUAUUUUUCACGGUUACCUCGGCUGUACACCUUUGCAGUCACUGGAAAUCUACCGGCCACUAGAGGACAUAGAUCCUCAUUUUCUCUUUAUAUAUAUAUAUUAUAUAUAUCUUCCAUCAUCACCCCUUCUCUUCUCCCUCCCACCCCUUCUCUCUUCCUCUCUCCAAGGGACACAAAUGCUAGUAACACCGGCAGGUUAGCAAGCAGGCUGCCAGCAAGCGAGAAGGACACGAGAGGAAAACGGUUAUUGUCAACCCCAGAUAUUAUCCAUCUAAAUGAACGGAAACUGCACAACACGAUAUCCCCUCAACGUCUACCGGCCAGCGCUUCAGCCACAAGCAAACUGACUGACUGAUAGAAACAAAUACAGUUUGAAAAACGAACAAAGAGCUGACAAGCAACGUGUCUCCAUUAAUAGACUAGAGAAAGAAACACACAACAGAUGUCCUGAUUGGCUCAAACCUUCAGACAGACGGGCAGUUGUAUUGUGGAACACAUCAACACAGAGAAAUCAAAUGGCUGACAAGCAGAUCAGGUUAGCAUGCAUUAGCUGUUAACAUUUAACUCUGGUGUCUCCCUCAAAUGUCACCCUAUACCCUAUAUUGUGCAC
This 1216-nucleotide long non-coding RNA is filed under the name Oncorhynchus kisutch (coho salmon). RNAcentral describes it as "lncRNA (ENSOKIG00005015612.1)". Lineage: Eukaryota; Metazoa; Chordata; Actinopteri; Salmoniformes; Salmonidae. The record is from RNAcentral.